GAACGCUGGCGGCGUGCCUAAUACAUGCAAGUCGAACGAAACUUCUUUAUCACCGAGUGCUUGCACUCACCGAUAAAGAGUUGAGUGGCGAACGGGUGAGUAACACGUGGGCAACCUGCCCAAAAGAGGGGGAUAACACUUGGAAACAGGUGCUAAUACCGCAUAACCAUAGUUACCGCAUGGUAACUAUGUAAAAGGUGGCUAUACUACCGCUUUUGGAUGGGCCCGCGGCGCAUUAGCUAGUUGGUAGGGUAAAGGCUUACCAAGGCAAUGAUGCGUAGCCGAAUUGAGAGGUUGAUCGGCCACAUUGGGACUGAGACACGGCCCAAACUCCUACGGGAGGCAGCAGUAGGGAAUCUUCCACAAUGGGCGAAAGCCUGAUGGAGCAACGCCGCGUGGGUGAAGAAGGUCUUCGGAUCGUAAAACCCUGUUGUUAGAGAAGAAAGUGCGUGAGAGUAACUGUUCACGUUUCGACGGUAUCUAACCAGAAAGCCACGGCUAACUACGUG
This 509-nucleotide ribosomal RNA is filed under the name uncultured bacterium. RNAcentral's name for it is "partial 16S ribosomal RNA". It matches the Rfam family "Bacterial small subunit ribosomal RNA", at positions 31 to 507 of the family's 1533-position model. The record is from RNAcentral.